GUGCCAGCAGCCGCGGUAAUACAGAGGUCCCAAGCGUUGUUCGGAUUCACUGGGCGUAAAGGGUGCGCAGGUGGGUUGGCAAGUUUGAUGUGAAAGCCCCGGGCUUAACCCGGGAAUGGCAUUGAAUACUGCUGAUCUGGAGGAUUGGAGGGGGGACUGGAAUUCUUGGUGUAGCAGUGAAAUGCGUAGAUAUCAAGAGGAACACCAGUGGCGAAGGCGAGUCCCUGGACAAUACCUGACACUGAGGCACGAAAGCCAAGGGAGCAAACAGGAUUAGAUACCCUGGUAGUCC
Molecule: ribosomal RNA, 292 nt
Filed under: uncultured bacterium
Lineage: Bacteria
Description: partial 16S ribosomal RNA
Rfam family: Bacterial small subunit ribosomal RNA
Source: RNAcentral